RNAcentral lists this long non-coding RNA (757 nucleotides) under Capsicum annuum. Its description in RNAcentral is "long non-coding RNA (CANN_LNC009177)". Lineage: Eukaryota; Viridiplantae; Streptophyta; Magnoliopsida; Solanales; Solanaceae. The record is from RNAcentral.
UUUCAAUAAAAUUCUAUAGGCCUAAUAAGACAUAAGCAGUCACGGGUUCAAGCCUUGGAAACAGCCUCUGGCAGAAAUGCAAGAUAAGGUUGUGUACGAUACACCCUUGUGGUGGGGCCCUUCCUCGGACACCGCGCAUAGUGGUAGCUUUAGUUUGGAGGGGAGCCUUGGAGUAACUGGUAAAGUUGCUGCCAUGUGACCAGGAGGCCACGGGUUCAAGCCUUAGAAACAGCCUCUGGCAGAAAUGCAAGAUAAGGUUGUGUACGAUACACCCUUGUGGUGGGGCCCUUCCCUAUAUACCGCGCAUAGCGGUAGCUUUAGUUUGAAGGGGAGCCUUGGAGUAACUGGUAAAGUUGCUGCCAUGUGACCAGGAGGUCACGGGUUCUAGCCUUGGAAACAGCCUCUGGCAGAAAUACAAGAUAAGGCUGCGUACGAUACACCCUUGUGGUGGGGCCCUUCCCCGAACACCGCACAUAGCAGUAGCUUUAGUUUGAAGGGAGCCUUGGAGUAACUGGUAAAGUUGCUGCCAUGUGACUAGGAGGUCACGGCCCUCAUGGGUUCAAGCUUUAGAAACAGCCUCUGGCAGAAAUGCAAGGUAAAGGCUGCGUACGAUACACCCUUAUGGUAGGCCCUUCCCCGGACGCCUAGCUUUAGUGCACCGGGCUGCCCUCUUUUUUCUAGGCUUAACAAGACAUGAUUCCACAAAAAUUGUAUAGGCUUAAUAAGGCAUGAUUUCACACAAUAGUAAAGACAUCAG